RNAcentral lists this ribosomal RNA (474 nucleotides) under uncultured bacterium. Its description in RNAcentral is "bacterial SSU rRNA". It matches the Rfam family "Bacterial small subunit ribosomal RNA", at positions 335 to 801 of the family's 1533-position model. The record is from RNAcentral.
ACUCCUACGGGAGGCAGCAGUGGGGAAUAUUGGACAAUGGGGGGAACCCUGAUCCAGCCAUGCCGCGUGUGUGAAGAAGGCCUUAUGGUUGUAAAGCACUUUAAGCGAGGAGGAGGCUACUGAGACUAAUACUCUUGGAUAGUGGACGUUACUCGCAGAAUAAGCACCGGCUAACUCUGUGCCAGCAGCCGCGGUAAUACAGAGGGUGCGAGCGUUAAUCGGAUUUACUGGGCGUAAAGCGUGCGUAGGCGGCUUUUAAGUCGGAUGUGAAAUCCCCGAGCUUAACUUGGGAAUUGCAUUCGAUACUGGGGAAGCUAGAGUAUGGGAGAGGAUGGUAGAAUUCCAGGUGUAGCGGUGAAAUGCGUAGAGAUCUGGAGGAAUACCGAUGGCGAAGGCAGCCAUCUGGCCUAAUACUGACGCUGAGGUACGAAAGCAUGGGAGCAAACAGGAUUAGAUACCCCUGGUAGGAUAGCG